Molecule: ribosomal RNA, 253 nt
Filed under: uncultured bacterium
Lineage: Bacteria
Description: partial 16S ribosomal RNA
Rfam family: Bacterial small subunit ribosomal RNA
Source: RNAcentral
GACGAACCGUGCGAACGUUGUUCGGAUUCACUGGGCUUAAAGGGCGCGUAGGCGGGCGAGCGAGUCCGGGGUGAAAUCUUUCGGCUUAACCGGAAAAGGGCCUCGGAUACCGGUCGUCUCGAGGGAGGUAGGGGCAGCUGGAACUUCCGGUGGAGCGGUGAAAUGCGUUGAUAUCGGAAGGAACGCCGGUGGCGAAAGCGAGCUGCUGGACCUCAUCUGACGCUGAGGCGCGAAAGCCAGGGGAGCGAACGGG